Mycena metata is the source of this 94-nucleotide non-coding RNA. NCBI's taxonomy places the organism in Eukaryota, Fungi, Basidiomycota, Agaricomycetes, Agaricales, Mycenaceae. The record is from the annotation of a GenBank genome assembly.
AGCAGUAUGGUGUAAUACCGCACACAGGAGUCUAUUAACUGAUGGGCAGGGUUGAAUUAAUCCUGAGGUCCUUGUUCGAACCAAGGUACUGCUC